This 245-nucleotide unclassified non-coding RNA is filed under the name Hevea brasiliensis (rubber tree). Lineage: Eukaryota; Viridiplantae; Streptophyta; Magnoliopsida; Malpighiales; Euphorbiaceae. The record is from RNAcentral.
GUCCUAGGAUAGUCAAUCCCAACCAAUUUUUACUCAAUUUCUUGCUGCUAACCCCCGUAAGCAGUCCCUUCAUCCUUUUCUCUCUUACAAGCUAAAUUUUUUAUUUCCCACACCAACAAAUCAUGAGUUACCACUGCUGUUCCCUUUUAUCGUUGCUGCUCUUUUGCCAUUUCCAGCGUUUCUAAAGUUAAAACAACCGUCUAGCAGCUUCUUUCUGUCAUCUAUAAAUCAAGAACCCUCCUUUA